UACCUACGGGGGGCAGCAGUGAGGAAUUUUGGGCAAUGGGCGAAAGCCUGACCCAGCGACGCCGCGUGGGCGAUGAAGGCCUUCGGGUCGUAAAGCCCUGUGAGUUGGGAAGAAGCCGUGCGGUGCCAAUACCACCGCGCGGUGACAGUACCAGCAGAGGAAGCCCCGGCUAACUACGUGCCAGCAGCCGCGGUAAAACGUAGGGGGCAAGCGUUGUUCGGAAUUACUGGGCGUAAAGCGCGUGUAGGCGGUCUGGCAAGUCGGAAGUGAAAGCCCUCGGCCCAACCGGGGAACUGCUUUCGAAACUGCCAGGCUUGAAUGCGGGAGGGGAGAGCGGAAUUCCCGGUGUAGCGGUGAAAUGCGUAGAUAUCGGGAAGAACACCGGUGGCGAAGGCGGCUCUCUGGACCGUGAUUGACGCUGAGACGCGAAAGCGUGGGGAGCAAACAGGAUUAGAUACCCCAGUAGUC
RNAcentral lists this ribosomal RNA (468 nucleotides) under uncultured bacterium. RNAcentral's name for it is "bacterial SSU rRNA". It matches the Rfam family "Bacterial small subunit ribosomal RNA", at positions 335 to 795 of the family's 1533-position model. The record is from RNAcentral.